Motacilla alba alba is the source of this 36252-nucleotide long non-coding RNA. RefSeq lists it as uncharacterized. Lineage: Eukaryota; Metazoa; Chordata; Aves; Passeriformes; Motacillidae. The record is from RefSeq and is a predicted model, not a curated record. The transcript is spliced from 2 exons.
UAUCUGAACAGCCUUACUCACAGUCUUCCUGAAGUAAAACAAAUAAUACUAUGCAUUUCUUAAGAUAAAAUGAUGAAAUGCCAUUUACAAGUGAUACUUAUUAUCUGAAUUAUCAUUAUUCCUACUGGAAUCCUCUUCUCUUUUGCCUUACUGUUGCUAUAUAUGAUUGAGAAGUCUGCCUUCCUGCACUUUUCCUUACGAAGUACAUAAAAACAAGAAGAGAGCAUAUCUGGAAGGCACAUUCACUGACAGCCUGGAGUUGUGAAAAAACACUGAAUUAUGGGGUACAGUGGAAACAUUUUUAUUACCAUCCAGUCCUCAACUCUUGCAACUACACAUAUUCUUUAAAUUAUUUUCUUUGGUCAUUGUUUACUCCAGCUCUCUACACUGUGUAUCUUAUUUAAAAUACUGCACAACCAAGAAGGUUCUGUUCUCACUGUGUCUUGGUGGCUGACUUUGGCUCAAUUCCAGCCUCCCCAAUAGGAACUGGGCCUAAUAAGCUCUGCAGGACCUUCUCAGCAGGGAAGGAGAGCUCAAAGGCAGCUAAAGGGAGAGUGUACAUGUCUGUGGGGAGCUGAGCUGGAUGUCUGUAGCAGGUACACAGACUGGAAGACUUGCAAGAAAAGGCUGUUGAGGAAUGGCCCAGAAGCACAGUGAAUUAAAGUGCUUGUGCAACCAUAGCCUCCAGCAUCCAUCACAGCAUGAUUUCUUUACUAAGAAUAGCUGAAGUGGGCAGAGCAAAUGCUUGUCUGUGAUUCACUGUGAUUUAUAUGGCUCCUCAGACCCUCACCAAUAACAAACACCUGGGAAGGCGUGACCACCAAAAGCACUCAGACCUUUCCAAGGGUAUUCCUGUACCUCCCCUCAGGGCUGAAAGAAAAUGGCCCUGCUGCCAAUCAGGUCUAGGCAUGAGCUUAAGAUAAAUGAGCAGGACAACACAAGAAACUGUCACUACCUUAAAGUAGCACCAUAUGAAUGUGAACUUCCCGUGGCAACAUCAUCAGAAAUAUCAAUUUGGGUACCCAUGUGACUAAGCAAUCGAGGAGAAAGUAAUUGGGGGUGAAUUGAUGUCUUGGAAGAAGCCUGGGUUAGAGAAAGACAGGUGUAAAAGUGGAUUAGAGGGUCAGAAAACUGUAAAACCUGUAUCAAGGCAUGUAAAUUACAUGAUCACUGCUGCCUGGGAAUAUAUACUGGAUGGCUCUGCCACAGCCUCAAUCUUACAACCCAAACCAUUGUCCACAUGUUGUGAAACCUGCUUCUGCAGUCAAGAAAGAAGGAACAGGAGUUUUCCCUGUUUGGAAGGGUGAAUCAAGCAUCUUGACAUCUCUGUGUCAUCAUGCCAUACCUCAGCCUGUCUACCCACUACAUCCUAAUGCUUCCAAGCCCACACUCACAGUUUCCCAAUCUUCUGCUUUAAGGACGUCCUGAACAAGAAGUGACACCUGUGUAUUAACUGCACUCAGGGAUUUUUCUUCCAUGCAUUUGUCUCAUCAUGUCUCAAGGUAGCAGAUGUAACAUCCUGCGGCAAAAAAUACCAGGAACUGAACCACAAGAUCUACAAGAGCAUCCUAAACCUCCAAGCAAGCCAAGGUGAAAUCAGCACGAGUGCUGAUGAAUGCAAUGCACUAUCCAUACAGCAGACAGACUGAAACAAUACUUUGUCCUUCAAAUCUGUACAAACGCCAAGCCUACGUAAGAAACGUGUACUGGAUUCCAGGUAUAGGCUGUUGACAAUCAUCUGUGGGAACUGACAACUGUUCUCCUGGGAGCACCAGUCCCGUAGUGCUGGAAAUACAAACCCUCCGCAUCUGUUUUGCAUUCCACCUCUGCUAUACUCUUCCUCCACAGAAAAAUGGAUAUAAAUAUACCCUUUUAAAAAAUAUUCCUCCUAAAAAUAGUUAUGAGCAUUUAUCUACAGAUUGGUGAAAUGGCCCAGCUGUACAGUCCAGCUUGCAAAAAUAACUUCUGAUAUGGCGUGAAGGAUCUUGACUAGUAGGUGAAAAUAGAAGCAUGAUAUUUAGAAACCAAUUCUAGUAUUCUGAGUAACAUGGACUAACUUCAGGUUUUAGAAACUACUAAUUUAGACAUUUAGAAAUUGCCAAACAUACAGCUAGGGCCUGAAAACUGUGCAUAGUCUGGUCAACUGGAAUAAACAUGAGGAAAAGAGGCUGGCUGCCCCCGUUUCUUACAAGUAUUAAAACUAGGGUGAUUAUAUCCUCUACUAAACAUCAAAAAAUUUCCCCUAUUAGUUUUGCGCCCUGGCUCCCCAGCUCCUCUCCCUGUCCAUCAGUGACAAUGCCAAUACAAGCUUCAUGUGCAAUAACCCAGUCACUUGCUGGGCCAACAGACUUACACAGAGUACUGUGGGUCAGGUUUUAGUCACACCAGCAGGAAUGAAAAGAGGCAAAUAUUAGGAAAGAAUGGGAGCCCUCUACCAGCCAUUCAAAUGUUUUAAUACAGUGACAUUAAGAUUCAUUACUUCAGUUUGCCAUUAAUCAUGCCAAUCAACAGGAUGUAAAAGUGAGUGUUCUCCCUUUAAACUCCCCAUGAAAUUCACAUUUCAUUCGCUGAGUACUGUCACUACUCAUCUCCAUGGAAACAGUUGUGAUGGGAAAAACUCACUGGUAUAUUGUAUCACCAAGUGAAUCAGACGAGACUAAUUAAAGACAACUCUUUCUAAAUAUACAUACAGCCUGCAAACCCAGAAUACUGAGAAAAUAUUUUCAAAACGGUCUUACAGGCAGAGUUUUAUUAAAACUAGUAGGACAGUCUCAUGGACAGAUGCACAGGAUUACAGUAUACAGUACCCCUAUCAAAAACCUUCUUUACUUAAACCACAGCAGCUCAAAAUCUCUUGCUGAUAUAUAAGGUCUGUGUAUAUAAUAUUUUAAAAGGCAGAUGGCAGUUAAGACCAUUUAACCACUACAAAUUUGUACAAAACUAUUCAUACAGUGUACUUCGCAAACCUUCCACAUACAAUAAGUCUCCCACAUUUUUUAAAAUUCUUGAAGACAUCCCAUGAUAUUUAUUACUAAUAAAAAUUGCAAAUAUACUGUAGAAACAAACUCAUAAACAGGAAAUAGGCCCUGGGUGUGAUUACAAGAGAGAGCUGCCAAGAAGUGCCAUCCAUACAGACAUCCUAGCUUUUCCCCUGGAUAUCUUCACAGCUACCUCACUGUUCUUUAAGCCAUUUACUUACCAAUUCCUGUGGUAUUCAUAUAGAUUCAUAAAAUUCACUAAAUAUGAAAGGGAAUGAACUAAAAAAAAAAAAAUCACUGUAGAAAUCUCCUAUUACAUUAUCUCUUUUUCAGUUUAAGUAGUCACUCAGCAUAUUAAGGGUUUACUUAGGGAUGAAAGAUAUUCCACAAUUUCAAGCUGACAACCAAUUCCCAAACAGCUUCAUAAGCAUUCCAUUCAUAUUUUUGUUUACAUAAUAAUCAAAAAUUAAAUUUUAAAACAACAAAAAUAUAGAUUUUUUUCUUUAAUUAAUAUAAGCAUUAAUGUAGAGCAAGGAAAAAGUAUCUUUACUUAAAUUAAAAAUGACAUUAAAGUUACAAGACAUUUCAAGGUCCAAAAGGAAAUACAUAAAGUUAGGAGAGAGGGAAGGUGCCUUACACAAAGAACCUCUAAUUAAUGCAGCCUAGUUCCUAAUUAAUGCAGCCUAUUUCUUAAAUGCAGCAGGACUUUGACAACACCUCCUCAAACACAAGCCACUAUCUCUUCUGGAAAGGGCUUCUUACCUCAGGCCCGGACCCAGCCUAAUGCAAUGUAUUGAUCCCAUAUCCUGUGCUACCUUGGACUUACCUCAUCUGCCACUUUCUGCGCCACAUUUCAUUGUACAGCCUAAACAUGUCCUUACACACCUGUAGAUAUUUUUAAACACAUCCUAAGAAAACCAGGCAUUUUAGAUUAAUGCAUUCAUAGCAGCAAAAUGAAAAGUCACCUCCAAUUUAAGUUAUAUGCUAUCAAAAAUAUAUAUUUGUGCUUCAUAUUAAUAAAGAUGAUACUACAGAAUACAGUAUUUACAAAAAAAUUUAUAGUGUUUGGAAUAUGACAUAUUCAUCUGAUGCAAGACACUAAAUUUUCAUAUCUAAAGUUAUUUGAUACAAAUUUUGUGUAAAUGGAAGCAAGUUGUUCAAGUAAUACAUGUGCUUCAAAUUUGACAACCAGAAGAAAAGACUACUGUAAGAUUAUUUUUCCUGCUACCGUGUCAGAAGGGAUUUAAACCUUUUCUGCAUGACUUACUGUCUUCUUCACUCAAAAUUUUAAAUUCCAUUAAUUUAAAUGGCUCUUUUUAUCAGCUCAAAUGCACUCUUUACAAAUAAUGCAAAAAACAUACAGUUAUGCAAAAUAAAAUAGCUGAUUUCAUAACUGAAAAAAAUUCAAAACAAUUACCAAUGACAAGUGCAACUAUGUUUUGCAACAUCAGCAUAAAGAAGUACUAUUCAGAAGCUUCUUAAAAACUAAGCAUAGGUUAUCUAAGCAAAAAUGUGUCAAAUUACUAGGAAGAUAGAGUUACUGAAAAGAAAAUGAAUAAAACUGUAUUUGAACAAAAAGACAACAGAAUAACUGGCAUCUUAAGUGCUUCCCAUUCAAUGCAAAACAAGGCAUUCAGGAAGACAGAAAAUUCAUAAGCACACAAAGGAAACAUACAGGAACGCAGUAUGAUAUAAAUGGGCAAACUCUCACAGCCAGGAACCACUAACCAAAAAAACAAUCAAUCCAAAGUAGUUUGUUUUUCCUUCUAACAGUCUCAAAACUAACACAUGACAUUUUGGCUUGAUAUGGGGCCUAUAUGCUAAUGUCUUACAAAAACAUCAAGUUUGUGAAGAAGUAAAGAACCUUUGAACUUCAAAACACUUCUGCUGUCAUCUCUGCUUGUCAUGGUGCUUAAGUGACUUGUCCCAGUCACUAUCAGGACUGGGACAAGGACAGUAGAAAGAUGUAAGAUCUGAUGAAAUAUCAAGAUUUUAUGUUCUUUUUAAUAUCAAAUUAUGAUUGCAUGAGCUGCAAAAUUAGCUCAUUUAAUUCUGAUUUCUGUAUUUUCUGACUUUUCUAACAUUAAGUAUUAUGCAUAUUUACUAUGUACAACAAUUUAACAUGAAUGCAUGGCUCAACAGAGUUACCCUGUACUGUUAAACAUGAUCUUCUUAAAGAAUAUUCAUUUCAAAGUGAAAUAUGAGCACAAAAGAAAACAAACAAACAAAUAAAUAACAAAAAAAUAUUAAAAAUAAACCAGUCCCCAACUAAGGAACAACAGUAUGCAGAAAGCUGUUUAUGACAUUGUUAUCCUCCCAGAAGCCAACUAUUUUGGAUGGUUAUGCAAAUGCAUCAUAUUUCUAAGAAAAUACUUAAAAGAGCCACCUUUUGCUUGACAGAAGUAUGAAUCACAUAAAAAUUGAUGAUCCUCUUCUUUACAACCCUAAUAAUUUUCCACAUACCUUAAUUUUAAUAAGAAAUUCUCCUUGCAAAAAAAAAAAAAAAAAUCCAAAUUUUUUAAUAUAACUGAAAUACUAAUGGUAUAAAAACUCACCAAACCUACAUUAUUAGAAGCCAUGCACAACCCAAUGCAAUAAUGAACCACUGUAUCUCUAAAAAUGAGUCUCACCAACAGUUGCACUUGUAACAUUUUUAGCUGUUCAGCAGUAGUUGCACAGAGUUCCAUUUUUGGUAAACACUUGCAUAAAUCAACAGACUGAAAAUCAGAAACUUAAGGAAGAAAAGUGGCAAACUCUAGUUAAAUGGAUCAGAACAGAUUUUAAAAUAACUAUUUCCUGCAAAUUCCAGAAGUUUGAGAUAUACUACUACAACCCCAAACUCAUGGGAGUUAAUUUAGAACACACAGCAGUGAUUCUCAGGGAAAAGAAAUGAAGCUAGCCAGUAAAUUGUUUCCUUCUCUCAUCUUGAAAAUCUAGAGCAGUUUGCCCACGUAAGUACUCCCUAAGAGAUCAACAACUGCAGUAGGCCAGUGCAAUGCCAAACAGCCCCAAAACAUAACCAUAUUUUCAUCUUACUGUUUAUAGAUAUCAUGUAAGACCUUCAAGUCAGCAUCCACCUUUAUUGCUUCAUUUUACACAAGCAAAAAGGGAGUUCUGUGCUGUAUUUUUCUUGAUCCCUAACAGCUACAAGAACCAUCAUGAUUUCUUGAACAGUCUUUUCCUCAUACACAAAGCCUACAUGCAAUAUGAGAUAAAGACAUUCUCAUUAUGAAGUGGUAUCUCAAAUUUUACAGUAUGCAAGUUAGCACCAGCACCAAUUUUCAAGAAUUCUCUCUGUGCCAAAAUUCUGACAUCUGGCAAGCCUACAGCUUACUUAAAACAAACAAGUAAAAUCUAAAUCUAAAUAUAUGUGUACACAUAAACAUAUACACAGACACAGAACCAUAACAAUAAUACCUUACAAGAGAGAAUCUGGGACAAGUUUAAUGAUCCACAAUCAAAUAAAUGAUUUUGGUUAUUUCAAACUGCACCUAAAGCUUUUUCACUCACUUCUCAAAAUCAUGUAAAACACAGACAUAAAAAUAGGUACCUUCACCCUUCACAAUCAAUCCAUAUAGAAAGCUCUAUUUAUAUUUGUUGCAGCCUCUGUUUUAAUAAUGAUGAAUUACUCAAUUGAUAAGUUGCCAGCAAGGAAGACUUCCCAUUAUUAGUCAAGUAACAUCCUGACAGUGGCAACCAUUAAGCUUCUGUAGAAAUACAGCAGAUCACAUCUACCUUGCAAAUUCUUACAUUGCAUUAUCUGGGUAUCUAAAGAUACUAUGUCUAUAUAGUAUGAAAGCGAGUUUGUUUUGUAUCUGCUGUCACGUUUUGGUAAGAUGAUGCAAAAGCAUCCAAACAAACCCCAAAACCACAUCCAAAAUUUUGUGGCAGUCUUGUAGGUUGUGGCCCAUUAACCUCUUUUAAAACUGCUUGAAACAAAAUAUUAUUCUACUAUUCUUCCUCAUCCAAAUUCUGUUCAAUGUUACGUAUUUCAGUGAGGAGAAUAUAUACCAUACCAAAUACCUCAAAGAGGUAAAAAUGCAUAUUUUAGCUCAUGUCAACAUAUGCAUUGCUUGCUUAAAAAAAAAUUACAGAUUACAAGGAAGUAGAGAUUAAUAAUUAAGAAGCUUAGCAAAGGAAUAAAAAAUUAUGACACUAAAUAAACUACAUAGGAAAUAAGACUGACCUGUCAUAUCCCCCAAUCCUGCUUCUGAACUGGUUUAAGGGGGAAGACAUAAUAUCAUUGUCCUCUUGAGACCAUCCACCCCAGAAAACCUCUCAUUCAAUGAACCCCGAUCAUGGACAAGGAAUGGAGAGAAAAUGGCACCCAAAUGGGUGUUUUAGGUAGUAUUCAGGAGCAAAUGUUUCAUUUCCUUCAUUCUUAUAGAACAGGUACUACCAAACUGAAAGCACCUUUCAGUUCUAGGGAUCAGAGGUUCAAGGAAACAAAGCAAUGAUGAAAACUAGACACAUGUUGGAAGGAAGCAACAUAAUAUAACAAAAUACUUUUUCCUCAAAGGAUUCUUUGAACAAGGCAACAGAUUGAAAAAAUCCCCUGGAUCAGAGAAGUCAUGAAGAAUACAGGUUUCUACUUGAAACAUUAGGCCAUCUUAUGAGUGGAAAGAAGAGAAGAGGACAGGCAUGACUAGCUGAACAAACAGCUAGAACAAUUUCUAGAAUAUCAGACUAAAAAGGCAUAUCUCAGAAGUGAAUCUAGAAGAGUAGAAAGGAAAUGUCUUAACAUCAAAAAGUUUCCAUGGGAUGCAGAGAGAAACACACGUGGGCUGCUAUCUUUUUCUUUGGCAGAUGUUCUCAAACAUCAAGAUGAAGUAUUUAGUGUUUUGUGAAAAACCUGUGGAAGACAAAUUUCUGGCACCAAGCAUGAGACAAAACUCGAUUCAUUUGCAAUUUUUUAUUACAGCUUCUGUUCUGCUUCAAAAUCACUUGUUUCUGAUAAAAAGCUCUCCGAUCCAGCAUGCUUAUUUAUGUGGAACACAUAUCCUUGAAAGAAUCACCAAGUACCCAGAGCUUACACACGCAUGUUCAGCAACUGUUUACACUUUUGUCCAAUGGAACAGCUUAUAAAUAUAUUUUUCCCACUUACAGCUCAAAGAUGAUUUACCUUUGGUGGGCAGCCAAUGUGCCUUUCAUAAAAACUAACAAAGUUCGUCACACAUUCUGAAAUUCUUACAUACCCCACAUGUUCCUAGGAUUCACCAUCACUAAUGAAUGAGUGGCAUAAUUCCACAGUGGAAGUUUUCAAAUUAAAAGAAUUAUCUCAAGAGAUACUUCACUUGUCUGUAUUUCAGAUCUAACAGGCAGACAAAGCAACAUACAUUUAGACUAGGUUUUACAAGGUACAAUUCUAAAAUAAACUCUCAAUGGUAAUUGAGUACCUUUAAAAAUCUCAGUCCAACUUCCAAGUUUGGUACUACUGAUCUACUGCUAAUCAUGUAGCCAUAUAAUUUUCUACUGACUUUUCUAAUUACUUUUAUUUACUAUUUUUUAAAACUAGUGUUACCCCAAAGGGAAAACCAGAAGCCUUCAAGAACUAUUUUAGGUUCUGAAUAAGCAAUUUGUUUUAAACAUAUUUUUACUACUGUACUUCAAACUGUUGUAAGCAGUCCUGAUUAACAGGACAAAAGGUGUCGUGACUGUACCUGUUCCACCAAUAGGGAGGAGAUCAGUGGGGAAAAGACAUCCAUUAUAUACCAAGACAGCCAACAGCCAUUACCAUGUACCAAAUCACAUAAUGAAGCAUCUGUUCUUAGAACUAUUCAAAAAGUAAUUUUGAUGCAUCUUGGAACUUCCAAUGUAUUUUCAGGGCCAUUUAGAGCAGCUAGGUAUUGCUAGGUCACAAGCCUCCAAGGAAUAUUCCUCAAAUACCUAGAGACGUAAGCAGGAAACAAAAGACACUAGAGAACAGAAUUCCCUUCAAGGAGGUUGUCUCUUCCUGUCAGAUAAUGCAGAUUCUAACAUCUUUGUCAAGGUAUUCAUCUGGCAGGGUGGAAGAGACACCGGCAUUCCAAAUACAUAAACACACUUCUUGACGUGCUUUUCAUGCCUACAUUACCAAGGAACAUUCCACUCACUGAUUAAGGCAUUCAGGAUGGUCAGGCACACGCCAGAUUGAUGUGGUACAGUUCUGUACCACAGAACUUAAUCAUUUUCUCUCAGGAUAUGUGUAGAAAUAUAGGUCUUUUAAAACUUGAUCAGAUGAAGGAAGUAAUUUGGAGCUUAAGGGUUUCCAUGACAAGUUUUUUUGUCUCUUACUGUCUUAGGUUGUAAUGCAGUAUGUAACCAAAAGUAUAUAUUCUAUCACCAUCUGUUCAAACCACGUGGGACAGCAUUCUUUAUCUCUUCCCCAACCCAUCCUCCCUUCAGGAGAUAUCUUCUGUUAAUGGGCCAUUGGGUCUCAUUGCAUGAAUGAAAAAAUUACAUCAUACCAUUGUAAAAUGCUCCACCCAGGGAGAAGAGCCAAGCAUUCCUACCUGGAUAUAAUCUGAGAUUUGGAAUGCCACAGGCAGCCUUUUUCCACUGGAUUCCCAGAGGAAGACCAAACUCUUCUACACCACCACUGGACCUUCAGAAGAAAACUACAUCCUUCUAUAGGAUCACUGCUUCUACAGAACCCCAUCUGUGACUCCAGGAGGACUGCAGCCACCAUUUAUUCGGACUGCUACCAACAUCCUGACCAGUAAGGUGUCAGGCUGUUUUCUGACUCUAUCUGUGGUUUUGUACUACUGCAUUUUAUUUUAAUUUUCCUAUUAAAACUGUAGUUCUGACUUAGGAUCUCCCACUGGUUUGCUUUCAAGCCAGUAGAGUUAGUUUGAAGAAAUGGCUUUCAAAGCCAAGGAAUAAAGUCAUGAGUACACUUUGUAACUUAAUUUCAGCAGAAAUGUCAGCUUAGAGUGUCAAAUUCUUGUCUCUUGCUCUCACCUUGAGUGCCCCUUUUGCUGUGCCAACAGAACAAUUUCUGCAGCAAUUUUAUAAACAAUAGAUAAGUCAAACAGAAUCACAAAACCAUCAAACAAUCAUGAAGGAUACACUAAUCUAACUUACAUUGCAGUUCCACAAACUGCUGUGCUGGCACAAACAGGGAGUUGGACUUGGUAUACAAACACCCAGUAAAGGAGAGGGAGAACAACAAUUGCUACAAAAGUAAACAUCCUACUUUCCUGUUCAAUCUUGCUGAUUUCAAUGCUGUUUUAUCUUUGAGACAACUCCUUAUCAAAUUUCAAGCAAGAAUGAAUACCUUUUAAUGUAAUAAGUAAUACAGGAUACAGACAAUAGCCCAUAAACCUUGUAAUUAGAAAAAAAAAUUGAGUUAUAAAGCUGACUUUACCCAGUGCGGGAUAUAAGAAGCAGGGUGUGAUAUUAAAAUAUGACUCAGUGACCCAGGGGAUAUUCUGUAUAAGGUAUGUCAUGUAUGCUUGGCAAUUCAGAGCAGAAAUUCUAAUUUCUAUACCAACAUUAACUGUGCCUGGUUCAUAUCCCUGUUGUACGAUUUCUAGAAGCAUUGCCAUUAAAAAAUUAGUCAUGCCUCUGGAACAGUUUGCAGGUUGUGAAGACUAAUUUACUAUCUGUAAUUAGAGCUUUGCCCAUGUUAUCAAGAUGUAACACCAGGCACAGGAAAACGAUCCUGGAAUAGGAAGCUUUACUUGUAAAGAUCUCUGGAAUAAAACAAUCCACUUAAAAUAUUACAUAAAAGAAAACAGCAUCUGAAAAAACUGUAAUUAUUUCAGGAAAAAAGGCAAUCUGAACAUGUCAGCGAACAUAGCAAAGGCUGCUCUGAACUCUUCACAGCUCCCUUGAAAGUCUAACAUCCAACAGCCACUCCUGUCUCUGCUCCUGCCAAGGUAAUGUUCCACAAAUCAGAAGUCCUUUUCUGUCCCUGCCAGCAAUUUCAGCGAAUGAAAAAGCAAAAUAUCUGGACUUGUUAUGUGUUUUUUUUUAACAUUAGAAGUUGAGAAAUGGAUCUAAGGGAGUCUGUCUGCUGCAGAAGGCCAGUCUGGGAAUUGCAAUGUUUUAAGUAUACCAAGAACAGUACAAGACACAGGCAAAGCAUAGCAACAAUAAAAAUGAUAGAAGCAUGUCAGAGAUAAAACUGAGUUAUUUGAUGGGGGUGGGUGGAAGUCCUUAUUCAAAAUUAUUCAUAUCACAAAGGCAAAUGCAUACGUAACUGCAAAUCAUCCAAUAACAUACUACUAAAAAUAAGACUUUUAUCAGUAGAAAAUUUAGUUGCCUGACCACAAGUGUCAAUAAAUAGCUAUUCAGCAUAACAAACUCAAUUUAUAGGGGAUUUAGGAACUUCAUUACAGCAAACUAUCUCCCUAAAAAUAACUUUUUCUUUUGCUUAGUGAAAUUUAAACUAGAACUCUCUCACAGCUUGUCCCUUGAGGGCUACAUAUAUGACCAUCUUUCAUACUGCAUGAAAGAAAUUUUCAACUCAACAAGUAGAUCUUCUUUUUCCUCACAGAAAAUGUAUACAGUAUCACUAGUGGAAUUUAAGCAGUAGAUGAUACUGAGGAAGGCAAAAUUCAACAAAAAUUCUACAUUAAGAAAAAAAAAAAAUUACUACUGCUGAUGACUGUAAAGUUAUGUUUAAAUAACCUCUCUGCUGGAAAGAAUAUCAAAGGAGUUGUGUUGUUAGAGUCAUUUUUGAAAAACAGCACACUUCUAGCAUUCUUAAUUUGCUUCCACAUAAUACACUUUCUGGCCAUGUAAAUAUCAUGGCUCCUAGAAGCACUGUUCAAUUUCUGCUUGGGCAGAUCUUCUUUUUGUCUAUAUAGAGAAUACCAAUUGAACCAAGACUUCUCUGUCCAUUACUGGCAGACAGGACCAAAUACAAGAGCUUCAGUUCAGUCUGAUGAAAGUCUCUAGUGCUCUUACAUCCAAAGUAUGCUUGUUCUAUGGGUGCUUCAGGCAUGGACAGGGAGUGGGCAAUAGUCAGAACAGGAACACAAAGUCCACUUUGGAAAACAAAGUUCAGUUUACUGUUAUGUUCUACAAAGAUAAAUCAAUAGCAAGUUCCACUUCCACUUAAUUCCACUUCUUUUAAUGGAUAAAUAACAGUCAUAUCUUAGGAUUUUAAGAUCACACAUUUCUAUUCGCAGAAAGAUUAAGUAUGGAAGCCAUUGAUCCUGAAAGAGAAUUCAAUAGUUGAAGAAAGAAUAUUUAGAUUUUAUUAAGGGGCAUUAAUACAUUGCCACUUAAAGCUGAAACCUCCUCCAUAAUGCUUUUUUCUCAACUACUAUGUUUUCAAGUCUAAUGAUAAAUGGUACUAUUCAGCUCAAACAGUAAGUUCAGACAUCAAGCCUGCAGAGGUAAAAUGAUGUUCAUGACUGACUAGAAGUACAAGUGUAAGAAGCUGCGUAAAACAUCCUUUCCAAGUCCUUCACCUUGAUAGGAGUAGGAAGGUUUAUUGUGGAUAUUCUUCCAAAUCCUUUUUACUUUGUCACAAUUUGUUUGAUUAUAGACAAGCCAUGUAAAAACACUAAGCCACAGAGAGUUCCAUUAACAAAGCAAAUCCUAAAAACAUUCUCCCCUCUGCUCUUCACAGUAAUUUGAAACAUGCUUAUCCACACAGUUAGGGAUAGGAUGCUCUCUUUCUACAAUAAGAUGACAAGAGUAGAAUAUACAAAAAGAAACAGGCAACAAAGAAGGAGAAUAAAAGCAUCACUCACUGACAAGACUCAGGAAGACUUGUUUUGCUGAACAUAAACGACAACAACAAAAUAUACUAUGGGUAUUGUUAGUGAGAAAGGAAGUUCAGGAAAACAAGAUUCUUCUGGUGGAUGGGUAAAAACAGCCCAGUGAUAGUGAUGCAGAAAAGACUGAAAUGUCUCAUUUUCCCCUGUUCCAUACAAACAAAGCUUCCUCCCAAAAAACUGCAGGUACUGACAGGGUUUGGGAAAGCACAGGGAAACUAACACUGUGGGAUCAACUGUUUUGGAAUACAGUGUGGCUGUAUUCACACCCUUGGGGCUAGAAGGCAUUCACCUAAGGUAGCUGAAAAGGUUGGCCAAUGUGAUUAGAGAUUGCAAACAGCUACCAAAAAUUCUAACAGCUGAGGUGUUUGAGGUGUCCUAAGGCUUCAAAAAAGGCUAAUUCCUACAAAAGGUGAAGAGACCCACAGAACAGGCCAGACAACCUGAACUACAAAGUACCAAAGAAGCCCACAUAGAGCAUGCACUCCUAGAGUCAAUUUUCAAACACAAGAUGGACAAUAAAGUAACCAGCAACAGACAAAAUUGUUUUACCAAGGUCAGAUUAUCAACCUGACUGCCUAUUUUAAUGAUAUGACUACUUAGGUAGCUAAGGAAAAAACUAUUGAUUUCAUGGAACCAAAUCUCAGUGAGGUUUUUUGGAACCAUCUCAUACAGCAUUGUCUGGAAGCUGAGAAGCACAGAGCGGAAGAGUAAACUGUUAGGUUAAAAAUGAAGCAUUCUGCCUAGAUCAAAAAGCAACAAUAAAUGAGUCAAUAUUCACUUAGCAGCUUGUAAAGACCAGAAUACCAAAAAGGUUAAUAUUGGGGCCCAAAUGGUUGAUUUUAAACUGUGUUGUGUUUCUUUUUUCAUUUGGGUUUUUUUUUUUAAUUAAAUCAGCACCCUGAAUGAUGAGACAGCCUACACACCUAGGAAUUUGUAGAGAGCAUUGCAGAGUAGAGUACCUAAUCUGAUCAAUGCCAAAGCUUCAACCCAGAGAACUCAAGAACCUGAGGACUAAGCAAAAUAAGAAGGGUGCCCAACAGAUCCAGGCAAGUUACUGUUCCUUCCUACUCUGCAUCUGGAACAGUGUGCAUAGUUUUGGAUCUCUAGCUGAAGAGUUAUUUUGAAAAAUUAGAGAGGGUCUAGCAGAGACCACCAAGAUGGCCAGGGGCUCAGAGCAAAUGCACAGAUUGUGGGAGUUGAACUUAGUCAACCUGGCAAAGAUGAAGCUGAAAUGCUACCUAGUAGCAACUCAAAACUAUCCAAAGUGUAAAUCCAAAUUAUUGCAACAGCAAUAAAAAUGCAGCUUGGCUAUUCAGAUUGAGCACAAGACCUCCAGAGGUUCUAUCCAAACAAUUUCUAUGAUUGCGUAUGACAGCUCAUUGUUCUACAAAUUCUAGAGACAACGAUGACUCAUUUUUUAAGACAGACAGAAUUUUCAUUUCUACAAAUGUAAACUUGGGUGAAGUUACUUUAAAAGCCCUCCCAUUAUUAAAGAACUCAGUCAUCCAAAGUAAAUAUCUUAACGACACUUGAGCUCAGAAGACUACAAAGAGAUUUUUUUAAAAGCAAAGAAGCACAUUUGUUACUUGUUAGGAGUCCUUAUUUGUGUCCUGGUUUCAUCUGGGACAGAGUUAAUUUUCUUCUUAGUAGCUGCUACAGUGCUGUGGUUUUGAUUUAGAACAAAAAUAUAAUGUUGAUAACUCACUGAUGUUUUAGUUGUUGCUAAGUAAUCUUACUCUAAAUCAAAGAUUUUUCAGUUUCCUAUGUUCUGCCAGUGAGGAGAUUGAGGAGAUGCACAAAAGCUGAGAGGGAGCAUAGCCAGGACAGCUUACCCAAACUGGCUAAAGGAAUAACAUCUCAUUGAAGCUCAUGCCCAGUAUAUAAAUUAGGGGGAAUCAUCUGGGACAGGCUGAUCACUGCAGGGGGACAGGUAGUGUGCCAUUGUUUUGUGCAACACUUGCUUCUCUUCAGUUUUAUUCCAUUUGGAAUAAACAGGAGGAAUUUAUUCCUAUUGGUAUGAAUAAUAUAGAAGGGUUAAUGGUGGGGGGGCUGUUGAGAUUUGACAGCAAUAGUUUAUCAGGGUGGGCCUUGGAGAGAAGCCAAGUAGGAACUAUUAUGGCAUAGAUUGUGCUUUUCUUGUCUUUGUGUUUUGUUUUGGGAGGACUGGCAGUUGGAUUCAAUCUUUAACCUUAUUAUGGGGUAAUGGUUUGGUGACGGCCACUGCUGCAGGGCCGGGUGGUUGUUGAGUUUAGCCUCCUUUGUAUCGUUAGUGUUACUCAUGGGGGUUUUGGGUGGGACAUUAUUGGGUUUUGUUAAUUCUUGUAUCUUUUGCCAUAAUUAGUCAUAAUUAGUAUUAGUGUAUUUUAUUUUGUUUCAGUUAUUAAGCUGUUCUUAGCUUGAUCCAUGAGGUUGCUUGGGUUUUUUUUCAGAUUCUGCUCCCCAAAGCAGGGAGAAAGGAGGGGAAAGCGAGCGUGCAGCUGCAUGGAUACUUUGUUACUGACUCAAGUUAAACAUUAAGGUACUUCACUAAAUAGACGAACCUGAGAUCUGCAAGAAGCAUCAAUAUGCUCUGCUACAUCAUGACCAAAUUCCACUGAGACCUUUUCAUAAUCACUGACCUUAAAAUUACUUUAAAAACAUGCAAAACACAUAGCAGCAAAAAAAUAAAACUUCAUUAACAGAGAAGUUACUCAGCACAUUUAGAUGGGCUUUUCCAGAAUUUAGAGGAAACAACUGCUGUAUUUUAGAAGAAUUUGCUUAGACUCAAAUCAUUGGUGAGUAUUCUGUCAACUGGUCAGAGGGACAACAGUCAAGAGGUUUGAACAAAAGGCAAACAGUAUUGCAUUAGAGAAGCAACAAGACAUGUUCCUGUACCCUGAAAAGCUACUGAAAACAGCAUGCACUUCUGUCCUCAGAACUCUAACAAAGCUGAAGGAAUAAAGUAACAAAAAUGUACAACUGUCAUCUUUUUUUUCUUAUGGACAGUAUUGUAUCAUUGCCUCUUACCAUCUUUAAACUAUUUUCAUAUACGCCUUUACAAUUUUUAUUUAAAAAAUUGCUUCAAAAAUCUAAAACGUGCCAAAGGCAUUAUGAGAAAAUUUUUACUUUUAAUACAAGCACAUCUUUCCAAACUCUUUUGACAUCAUCUGUCAGACUAAUUCUAAAAUUCUAUGUAGAACUCUAAAAUUCUGAGCAGAACAAUAGCCUGUGUUUUUUUAAACCAAAGCCCUUCAUCUGACUGCAUACUCUAGACCUGUUCCAUGCAUUCAAGUUGUCCAUGGCAGCACUACCCCACACUGGUAAAAAAAAAAAAACAAAAACAAAAAACCAGCAAAAUAAACCCAAACCUUCAAAACAGACUGUAAAGCAAAAUGAAUGUUAUUUGUUCAGCCAGUCACUUGCAUAGAACUGCAAGCUGCAAUUCUUCUUGAAAAGCAUCAGCUCCCUUUCACAAAACUACCUACAGCCUGCCAAAUUUAGGAUGGGAAAAUUUCUUACAAUGCAAGAACCAGACCAACUUCGUUAUCACUGAUGGGGAAAGCAUACCUUGACAACAGGCUGAAUUAGUGGGAUUCUUGAGAGCAAUGUUCAAGUAAAAAUGCUGGAGGUUUUUUUUUUUUUUGAUAAAAUGUUUAUUUUGAAAAUACUUAAACCUCAUGUCCAUUGAAUAACUGCUAUCUACUAAAUUUUUUCUUUCCCAUGCCUAGAGAUCAAAACUGUAGUAGAAUGAUGGUUACACACAGCACAGGAAGCUUAUAUUGCCAAAAUCUCAAGGCCAAGAUUGGAAGCAGGGGAAUGGGCAUCAAGAAUACUGCCAAUCCAUCUAUUACUAAACUGGCAAGAAUUUCUACUACUUGAUGAAAAUAAAGCAGAACUCUUUUACCUUCUUGCCAAAAUUAAGGUGAAGUCUAUAGCAGAAGGCAAGAAGCCAGUAUUUACAGAUGGCCAAUGUGCUGGGCAACCCUGUUCUGGUUGAGAUCUGCAUUUUCCUGCACAACCCUAUCAAAGAAUGAUGCUACAGAUGGACUAAAUAAGCCAAGGUCUACCCUAGAGUUCUGAAAUUGAGGUAAAACAAAUAUAGUAGUUCAGGUUAUUAUUUAUUGACAGGUAUUUCAGAUGACAUAACCUGUAAGGGGCUGGGAUUGCUGAAGACACACUAUGCACACACCAGCCAACACCACAGGCCUUUCUGCCAGAUCCAGCUGGCAAUGUCAAAUGUCUCAUCAGCAUUUCACACCUUGGACAGUUAUGGCACAGAUUCUGCCCUCAUCUCUAAUGGCAAAAGAAUGCAUGGAAGAUGCAGGUGAUACUUCUGGCAUCCUUCAUUGUCACACUACAUUCUCACACUGCCUGCACCUUUUUCUCCACUUUUAUUGAAAAUAAUUUAAUAUUCAAAUAAAAUCUUUUGUUUGGGAAACAUAGUUCCCAGCUUCAAUUUCUCUAGCUGUUCUGCAGCCCAGAAUACUUUCUGGUUUUUACCCCUGAUUUUUGACCCUGAUACGUGACACUGUUUCUAAAAAACUCGUGUAUACUUUUAACUCAUAAAUAUUAAUGAAUAUAAAUGCUAUUAAUACGAAUCAUAAAUAAGAAGCACAGCUUGACAGCAGAGUAACACUGUAUGAGAAAUCAGGGUACUAAAUAAACUAGACAAAAGAGUUUACAAAUAGUUAGCUACUGAAGUAUUUUCUGACUUUUAUCUAAUUCUCAGUAGCUUUAAAACAUCAACAAAAUCCUAUUGUAAGUCAUUUGCAGCUAAUAUUACACCUUUGUUAUUUGCAUUGAAUUCAGAAGAUGUAUGUCUGUGAUAAUCUGAAACUGGAUUUUAUGUACCAUUUAGGGUGCAAAAUAUGCUCACUGUUUGCUCUGUAGUCCUGCAAUGCAGAUCACUUGCAUGCUCUGACCACAGAUAAUUACACAGGCAAACACGUGCUGUUUCUUUGCACUCUGCCAACUGUAUUCACUUGUUCCCUUCACCACCUAAAGCACAAUCCUGUGAAGACUUACAUAUUCAUUUCCACUGAGAGCACCAACAUGUUUAAUUGAAGUUAAUGGGAAAACUCACAACAAAAUGCUAAAUAUGUGUAAGUAUUAAGUCUUCACAAAGCUCUUCCACCCCUAAAUUCAGAACAUUUAAGCAGCAUUUUUUUCUAGUGUAAAUAUACUUAGAACAGUAUUUAAGCAUCUGUAAAACAAGUUAGACACUGAGAGUGCUUCCUAAUAAUUCUAAAUAUGACUUGCAUUGCAACAGUAGUUGGUGGUCCCAAGUAAGAUUAGGAUUUGUAGUCUAAAAAACAGACAAGACAAAGGCAAUUAAGCAAAAAGGGUUGUAUUACAUAAAGACUGAAUAAAGAGUGCCAUUUUUGCAUUCCUAAUAAUUUCAAUGUGAUGGUGCUAAUUAGAAGAUACUUCUGUAAGGAGCUUAGAAACUAACAUAUUAACAUUCACCAUUCAAUUUCUCCCAAGUAGUCCUUGCAUUCUAUUUCUGUCUUUGGCACCAAGUAUCCAGCCUAUUCUUACAGAGAAAUUACCUCCAAUGAUUCAGACAAUCCUAGGAAAGUGAACCUCAUUCACAACUAAAGACAAAAUAAAUACAACUGUUUUCAACCUAAUAUAUUAGACAAUUCCUCUCUAACCCCAAAUUAAUAACCCUGAUCUCAAAACUAAGAUUUAACCAACACUGAUAAAGUUCCAGCUCCCUGAUAUCAUGAACAUUAGUUAUUAGUAGGUGUUAUGCCCUUAGCAAGUUGAUUCUCAACAGGUUUUUUUUUAGGCUUGCCUUCUUACUUUUGCAUUUAACUUGACAGCCUCUCUGAUCUAUUUUCCCCACUCUACAUUAAAUCCUUUUAUUACGAACAGCUUCCUUUCUCCGCAAGUUUCUACAUGUCACCUUUAAUUUUUGGUCUGCUGAUACUGUAUCAAAGCCCGGGCAGACAGAGGAGUACUCGGCAGUCCUUGCAGAGUAGCGCUCACGAUGGCUACUUGCCAGUUCCAUGCUGGGGGAAGAAGGAGCGCUCCACACCCACACAGCUUGGUUUCCACAGAACAGAAAUGCAGGUACACAGGCUACAUGGGAGAUGCAAGGCACAGUAAUGGCCUUCUGAUCUAGAUAAAACCAACACUAAUAUAUUGCACCAUUUGAAGAAGCUAGAGGUCAGCCAAUUGAAGCCUUUUCUUUUGCAGCCCACAUUCCAGUUCCGAGUCUCAUACAAUGACUUUAAACAGAUUGCACAGCAUCACAAACCAUUCAGCUGCUCUUUCUGACUUCCCUUUAGCUAACUGCCUCAAUUCAUAUAUGCUCAGUCUGACUUUCUGAUUUUUUUUCCCUUCUUAAGCAAGCUGAAGUUGACUAAAAAUUACAGAGUACACCUUCUGUAAUUAGCAGACCGUAAGUAAAAUAUUACUUCUCCUCCUACAGUUCAUCAUACUGCUUCUUCCUAGAAGCACUCACUUAAGCAUCUAGAAUUCUCUUUGCAUUCUGCACCAAUGCAAUCUUGACUCGGACUGCAUGGGAAUAACCCAAUUUCUUUUUACAACUACUUUUUCUGCAUGUUUCCCCCAAGAGUAAUUGUAGUGGGUGAGGGAGAGGAUGUGAGUGAAAUGAGACAUUAUUGUUUAGGUUGAUGCUGGUUUAACUUGAAUAAAGUAGAAAACAUCAUCACUCAUUUAAUGUUAUGAACUUCUAUAACACUUUUUAAAACUCAGAAGGGUUUUUUAGAAUAUCUUCUACAGAGAAUAUGACACUAUGAAUAGCACAUUAAGCAGCUCAUUGACAUCCGCCAGCUGCCACUCAGUCUUUACCUUUGACCAUGGACAUUGCAUGGAAAAUAACAGUUGAGUGUUAUUUACAAAAAUAAACCGUUUUCCAUAGGGAAAAAAAAAAGGUUUUCAUAGAAACAAGAACAGUAUAUUAAGAAAUUCAUACAGAUCUUGAGUCAUUAUUUAAAUUUUUAAAAUGCAACAUGUUGGGAGCAAAAAAGUGUCAGCAGUUUCGUAUUUUGCCAACCUCAAGAAAAGCAUGCAUAACAAAUUCUGCAAGGAGAAACUAGAGCUAGAACACAUGGAGUAUAGGCCUGGAUUUGCUCAUUAAGUUUCUGUAAAAUAAUAAAAACAAAAAGAGUAUCCAAUCCCACAGCAUGGUUUAUAAUCCCUUACUGCCCAAUCAUAGAUCAAACCCAGUAUUUAGUUUUGGAGGAAAAAAAAGUUCAGCUGCUUACUUUCAGCUGACUUGUGCUGGAGUAUCCAAUGAAAUUUUUAAUAGGAACCUUUCUUUUUUAAAUUUAAUUUUCACCACUUGUGCAGAGACCUCCUUGCCUCUUUCUUCAUGGUGCAAUGUCUUGUCAUUUACAACCCAUUGUUCUUUCUCAUUUUACAUUGCAAGCUGAUGAGAUGCAUUCAGUUUUGGUCACAUAUCUUUUGACAGCAUAGUCCUGCAACUCCACAUCCUGUUCUAAAAUAAUGAUUAACAGAAUGUGUCACAAUCAGCAAUCAACAGCUUAGCAGGACUGAAAUAGGCAAGCCAUUACUAUGAAAAAGCAGAGCAAAAAACUAUUUCACAUAUUGAAUGCACACACAUGCUCCACCAAUUUAUUGUAUUUCAGAAGAAUGUUUUUUUCUGGAUGUGAACUGGCAGUAAGUUUGAAACAUUUUGUACUAGUCACUGUCCACUAGUCAAUCAUGAAAAAUAUUUAUAUGGCUUAAAUGAUGUCCCAACAAAAAGAAAGCAAAUACAUAUUUGAAUCCUCUGUGUUUCUACAUUCAGAACAGUUCAUUCAGUAAACUGAAUUUCCAUGGCUGAUAGAAUAAAUGAAGUGCCAUUUGUCUGCGAAGGGAUGAACUUGCACAGAAGUCCUUUCCUUGCUGGAUAUUCCUUCUACCUUUCUUUGCUGGAUAUUCCUUCUACCUUUCUUUGCUGGAUACAACUUUCAAUACUGCUAUUUCUCUUUCAAAUUUGAUUGAAAAUAAUCAAAGAGCUCAAAAAUAAGGUAACAGUUCCCACUUGCAAAAGCCUCUUCCAUAGGAAACACAAGCUGAAAAAAAGAAAGACAUGCUGCUAAGUAGACAAAUAGCAAGAUUUUUCACAAAUAUAUACAUCUGAGGCUUCCUUAUUGAUCAGAACAUUACCUUUGAUAUACUUUUAAGUGAAAUUAUAGCUAUAAAAGUGUUACAAUUAUAGAACUAUAAAUACAUUAUCUAAAGAACUAUUGACUAAAAAAUCCUGAAAAGAUAUGUCUUCUUUGUGUUUUAAAGAGGUUAAAGUGAGACACAAGAAAGGGAAAAGUAAAAAUGCUAAGUAACUGACCCUAAUACCUAUUAGAACACGGUAGUAUGCAAUAUCGAUUCUAGUCUGAGACAAUACUGUAAUUACAUUUUCCUACUGGACACUAAGAAAAGAAAAAAUAAGUGUUCUCUGACCCUGGAUACUAGUUUCAUUUUUCUAGACUAAAUAGAGAAACAGAAAAUGUGUCACAUGCCCAUUAAACUAAAACAGGACCAUCCAACAAAGAGAUUACUUAUAUUAUUCAAUUUUAAAAUGGCAGGCUGUAAAACAGGAAUUUAUCCUAUUAGUGGAAGCUGAAAUAAUAAGUCAAAAUACAUGCUCAAUUUUUUUCAGAUGAAGAGGGAGACUUCCCAGAAGGCAAUACUCUCUUUCACAUUAAAAAACUGUACAUACAAGAACUCUGACUUAUUGACAGCUUGACUGAGAUACAAUGGAAUCAGAUAAACAUUAUUGUUAACUCACAUUCAGGCAAGAGGCUCAGGCUAACAAGCUGACCUCACCAGGAUUCCCUAGUUCCUGGGAAGUAAAAUUUCCCACUACAGUCUGUCACACAAUACUCAUGUUAUCUGAAACUGAGAUUCAGAAAUGUACCCCCCCCCCCCCAGUGUCAGUAAACAAGAAAUGUUUUUCAAGCUACACCUCUACUGAUGAUCAAAACAAUGACUUUCCAUACCUCAGGUAAACCUUGACAGAUUAACUGUUUAACAGAGCAAAAACCAAUAUCGAGCAUAAUAAAUAAAGCAAGUUAUUGCACUUACAGUGUUACAGUGUUUCAAAAAUCUUAUCUCAAAAAUGUUUUCAUUUGUGUUCUGCUCACAUGAAUGCUCUGUCACUCAUGAAGGAAAUGUUCCUCUUCAUGGUUUUGGUGUAGUUUUGGGGCUUUGUUUAUUUGGGUUUUUUUUCCCCUUGAAGCUAGUAUUCUGUGUACAAUGCACCUUUAAACAGAAAUCCAACAAUUAGCCUACAGGCUAGCUGGUCACAAAAAUAUGCAUGACCAAAACACCAUACUGUUUGCAGACCUGGGAGAAACUGCAUCCUCUGAGUAAUUUUCAAUUUCUUGAUUGGAUUUGAAUCAGUACACUACCACAAUUAUUCUUAACAUGUCAAGCCUGCUGCUAGGAAGGAGCUUGCCACAAAAAAUAUUUAUUCCCUAUAAUUAUGUAGAUUUCCAAUACUUACAGAGAGAUGAUUUUAUUACAUGUAUAGAAAAGAAUGCUUUGCAAAACUGGUAUAUCUAUUUCCAAAGAAAGAGCCCUUUUUUACUCACAGCAGAUCCCCACUAAUUAAACCUUAAAAACGUAAUGCUGCUUUAUAGGUCAAAUUUCUUUAGGAAGUUUCUUUGUUUUUUAAUCAUGCAAUUUUUGCUACACACAUAUUCACUGCACUCAUUCAUUAAAUACAGAGUCCUAAUUUUGUAAGUGAAGACUGCAGAGAGAGACCUAAAGAUUUUUUACCUACAUUUUGUUAAUGUAAAAAUAAGCAAGCCAGGUGAAGUCAGUCCCCUUUGUGCUCCAUUUUCCAAAUUCUGAUUAUUCCCACAUGCCAUUCAAGAAAUAGUGAUGUGUUAAUAGCACACUUGAAUUAGCUAUAUUCAGAUAAUGGGAAGCUCAUAGGGAAAUAGCAUAGAAAGAAGAUAAAAAAUACUCUAGUCCACUAGAAAAUGUUAUGGCUCAUGAUUUGAAAUAUUUAGGUUUGUACUAGUUUUUCUUCUUGUAUCAGUACUAAUCUGUAUAAUGAUAGUACUCAGCUGCCCUGUUUCCUAAGCACAAUAUAAGGCUGUAACAAAAGGUUUUCUAUGUUCAGUUUACAGUGAAUGAAGCUGAGUGAUAGAGAUCUUGGGUUAAAAUACAGCUAAUCUGAACUAACAUGUUUAUAAAAACUUGUGCUCACCUUAUUAAGGUCAAUUCAAUGAACAUUAAUUGUACAGAGUUUCUUCAAACACUUUCAGGACCCUUACAUUCUGGGAAAAUACAGAGCUGUUGAAGAGUAGGUCAGUAUUUACAGAAUACUGAAGAGCUCUUAAGACUUGCCCCUUACAAUCAUUGUGCUAAAAUGAACUACUUUUUCUUGACAAAAUGAUACCAGUGUCAAAAUAGGCACAUUUAGCAUAGAGAUCAGAUGCUGUGUUACACAGAAAAUCUGAUAACAAAUUUCCAAAACACAUGCUGCAAUUUUUAACAGCCACUACAGUGUUAAACAUUAAACAGUCUCUGAAAGUUCUAAUUAAGUGGGACAUGAGUUUCCUUGAGGAAGUCUUUAGUAUUUCUUCUGCUGUGUGAAUCUGUUAUAUGGACAGAUGUAUAGACUAAUAUUAAAAGGAGAGAUUAUGCUGCUGAAGCUUUUUUCUGCCAAGUUUUUUUUUAAACUAUACAGAUUAAAUAAUUACUUUUCCAUUAGUUCUCUUUUGAUCUCCAGAAAGAACAUCAUUACUUUGUAGACUUUCUUCACUCCAAUCCAGUAUUUUUGAGUAGAAGAUUACUUAUAAGAAAGUGCUUCUGUCCUUUCUUAAAAUAGAUUCUGAGUGGGAGCACAUGCCAUCAUGAUGCUGUAACUCAUCAGGAAAUUAUGAUGCAGUACCAUCUUAUUCUAAAGGCACCCGCCAGCUAAGAUAUGGACAAGGUCACAUCAGCACUUUUUAUAUUUUCAGGACUAUUUUCCUUAUCAGAUUAAAAGAAAUCCAGCAAACAAGCAAAAACACAGUAUGUUUUUACAAGAAGAAACAAACAAACAUAAAACCACCAUCAACCAAAGACCACAACAAAACAAAACAAAAAACCAACCAAACAACAACCAAAAAACCCCACCAAAACACAAAACCAAAAACCUUGACACCAGGCACUUGGAGUAACUUCAAUUUGAUUUUGCACAGAACUAUUGCUACCAAGAAAAUUAGAAUGGAAAUGAUAAUUGUGAAAAUACUAAGUGUACAUAAUCUUUAAAUGCAGUGAAUUACCGUGGAAUUAUUUAUCUAGGGAGGCAACAAACUAAGGGGAGGAGAACUGAUUUCAAAUGGUUUUUUCUUUCUUCUUUUUUUUAAUCAUAUAUCACAUCAACAAGGUUGUGGGGAAGACUGGUGGGGAGGGCAACCCAACAUUUUUUUCCUGCUUGCUACAAUCUUAAAGUAUACACAAACAUUUUUUAUUAUGAGAAGACAAUGAAGAAGACUGCAUCAGAGAAGCCAUGAAAGAAAAACCUUCUUAAGUAAAGCAGGCAGUUAAUUAUUUUGAUCUUCUUCAAAAAAAAUUUAUUAUUAUUUAACUUAAACAACUGAAAGGAACUCUAAUUGUCUGGCAGCUUUACUCUUUCAGGUGUACUAAUAAAGCAUCCAGGCUGAGUGACCCCAGAACUUUCUAACCGUUAAGAUAUUUUUACUUAAAUGGCAACAAAAAACAGUGUUCCUGCUACUGCCAUAUUCAAAUACUUGAUAAGCAUGAUGUUUUCUCAUCAUCUCACUGUCUGAACACUUGGCAGCAUGUAAUAAAAGUAUUUUUGCAUAUAAGCAAAAUUCAGGCCCUCAAGUCCUAUACAAAGUAAUCCAAUACACCACAGGAUUUCCUUAGAAAUAGAGCUGAUAAAUGCAGUUAAUUUUUCUGGUGGAAACUUUAAUAGAAGGCUGAAGCUGCACCAAGACACGCUGGGAGGCUCAUGUGCAAAGUAACACAGGUGACACCUGAGGCAGCAAACACAGCCCAUGGGAAAGGCCCAUGGCUAAAGGGGCUGUGUAACAGCACUGCAAGGUACACAAGGCUCUACAAAUGGCUUGGGACCCCCAAUGCAGAACUUCUCCUGUAGAUACAUACUGGAUUACAGAGACUACCACAGAGGCAAGGAACUUGGCUUUAAUUCCCCGUUAGCAUAUGGGGAUUCAAAGCCAUGAAUUUAUUUCCCAGAAGAGCACUUUAAUUAGGAAACUAAAAGGAUGGAUAGUAACAAGCUUCUUGUCUGCUAAAGCUAGGUAGCUACUCAGCUAAGAAUUAAAAUGCUAUGGCAUCUGGACAAUUAACAAGGAUCACACUGUAGUCUAAUAAUCAGGGUGCUCAACUGGGAGAGAAGACCUAGAUUCUAGUCCAUGCUCCAUGGACUAUUUCUGUUUUGUUACUUGCCCUUUAACAGGAGAAGAAAGCUCUAUGAUAGUUCAAAAUGCAAAUAUCUGAACCCUGUUCUCUUCCCUCCCACUGCAUGGUCCAAACUACUGAAGUUUCAGAUACCGAAGCAUCACCACAUUGAUGUGUCCCUUUGCAUCUAGCCUACAAAGCGUUACAGAUACCUGGUUUUGAUUGACUAUAUAUCUCUCUCUUCAGAAAUACAAGAUUUCAUAGAAUUUGGGCAUCCUUCCAGCCAUGAAGCUUUUUUUAAUUUCACAAGUGUGUAACUAGGCAUAUAGCUCCUAAUAGCACUGCUCCACGGAGAGAAUAAAGGCAAUGCCUUCCAUUUUACAGAAUAUUUAAAGCUGCUUCUACUUUUAAUACAGCAUUCCCUGGAGCCACCAAAAUAUCCCCAAAUUACUGGAUCAACACAAUAUUCUCUGCUCAGGGAACACACAAACUCUAGUAAAUCCACCUCACAAGUCUAAAACAAUGACUUAACACCCUCCUCUGUCCCUGACAUCCAUUAUCACACUAUAUGUUAACGCUAACCACCUUCUCUUGUCAGCUGCAGCUUUUCUUCCUUUUUUUUUUUUUUUUUGCAACUUGCAUCUUUUGGAUCAUGUACUAUUUUUUUGUCUUCAUUCAAAAAUCUUCAGCCCACCCUUAAGACAGACAAGAAAGGCAAUGUUCACAUAAGGUUGAUCAAUAUGAUAAAUGAAUUGUGAAAUGUUUGUUCAUUUUUUAAUAAACUGUUACAUACUUUCAAGUACCCCAUUAAAUUAAAACUACUGAAGCUUCUUCAACUUCCCAUCUCAAAUUCUUAUCCCUGGAGCAAGAACAGAUGCAGCCAGAAGUAAACACUCAGAUGUAAGAGGAAGUCAAAAUGUAUCAUUCCAUGUUUGUAAUUUCCAGUAGACUACUAGUGCCUCAGUAAAUUAAGAGGUUUGCAAACCUUAAUUACCAAAGGAAUACAUAAUUAUUACUUUUAGAAUACUCUUUUUAAGUAUCAUGUCUUCCCUUUAGUUUAAUGACUGCAUUUUAGGCCUCAUCCAGAAAGGUAAUGCUUUGGUAAUAUUAAUAUGACAGACAGUGAGGGAAAAUCCAAAGCCUGUUGACUCUCUUAGAGCAAAGUAUAAAAUGAAAAUAUAGAUUAUGAAAUUCUAAUGUACAGAUUACACUUCUCUGAAUUAGCUAAUUUGAACAUAGUAAGUUCAUUCAUUUAAAACAGAGUAGACAAACUGAGCAGAAUUUUAGCUAUUCAGCUAACAAACGCUAUACAUUCGUUUAAAAAACAAGGAACUAGAAAGAAUAAGUCUAAGAACAGAGCUCUGUCCAUUGAAUGCUUUCAACACAUCUGAUCCUGGUUACCUGAUAGGAAAAGGCUUAGUAAGAAACCAUAUUCAAGCACAGAAAAAUCCUAAAAAACCACUCUCUUUCAAAACAGAAAAACUGAAAUAAAAGUAUCAUGUAUGUUCUAAGAGCAUCUCUCAACUGCUGAAUUUUGUUUUUAUAAAUGAUAUACCUUUUUAUAAAUGAUAUGUUUUUAUAAAUGAUAUGUAGGCCCUUGAUACAGAGACUGUUAUAUACAUAUUUAAUAAAUGACAUUUCAUUUAAUACUCAAAUUGACUGUGUCCACUAGGGAUGUCUUAACUCUUAUAUUACAUUAUACAUAUUACAUCAAUUUCAGUUCUCCUGAAAUUCUUAAAUAACCAAUGGGUGGUUUUUACCUUGUAAGAUAUAUUUUAGAAGUCAGGCUAGAGUAGCCAAAGUUAAUUAUGAGUGAGUCCAAGCUAAUACAAGAAUCCAAGUUUAUUUCAGGACUUUGCAUAUCAGUUGAGUGCUGGCUCUUGCCCACAGAGACAUAAAACCUUUUUUUUAGCAUGUAGCCUAUGUUGCAUGUAAGUUUCAAGAUUACCUCUUUACCUGAGCAUUUGCAAAGUACUUACAUAAACAAAAGAAAUCUGUAUAACGUAUAAAUAAAAAGUAAUGUGUUUUGGCAGAAAGAACUUCAUGCACAGUGAAGAAUGUUAUCAGUCACAACCUAGUAUCUGAAAUUGCAUCUAAUAUAGAAUAAAUCACAGAACUGUAUCAAGCUGUGAAGUACUGUGAGCUUUAAACAUAUUUAAACCACAUCCUUACUCAAAUAUUCUCAUUUGGGCACCAAAUGAAAGAAUUUUCUUCAAUUACAUUCACUUACAAAAAUUUUUUAAAAACCAGUUUGUAUCUUAAGAUGUAUCAUCAAUGCACAGUAAUUGACAUUAGACAGUUGUAUAAUAGCCCAAGGGAACACUGUAAACAUAUUACAUUGACUUAAAUGGAACUUAGAGUCAGAAUGUAUACUUUUUUUCCCUUAUGAAGGAAACUCCUUGAAAGUAUGGAAGCUGAAUUUCCAUUUCUGAAUCCAUUGAAGGGACAAGAAAAGGAGAUGAAUCACCAAAGCUUUUUCAGCAACUACAAAAAGCUAGCACAUGAGACAAGUAAAAAUGGUACGCACCAAUUGUAGAAAAGCCAACAAUGUAAACAGACAAAAAAUGUUCAUAAAAGUCUUUCUUCAUCCUACAGGAUGUGUACCAGAUGGUGAAGUCAUACAGUGGGGCAUUGCUUCCUUGCACUGAUCUAUAAAUUGCCUGUAUUCCUGAACAAAGGGGGCAGAUAGAUUUGCAGAACAAGCUAUAAAGUUUCUUAUUGGUGGUCUUUGUCUGGUAGAAGGCCACAUACAAAGGAAAAUUAGACUUUUCUACCUGUCUGGCUAACAGGUACAAAAAAAUGCAGCAGAACACAGAGACCGACCGGCCUAACAAAAACUUUCUACCAGGAGAUGACUGGCUUGGUAAAUUGAGAGCAGUGGGUACUGUCUGGCUUGAUUUCAGUAAGGCACAUACCUUUCCCUCACUUAUUAAACCGUCUCUAUCUCAAGUGAUGAGUUUCCACACAUUUGGUUUUCUAAUUCUGUCCCUCCUCCUGCCUGGGGGCAGUGAGUAAGUCUCUAGGUGGAGGCUUAGCUGCUGCACAGGGUCAACCCACCACAAUAUUCUUUAGUGAUUUCUUUCAAUUACUUCCUUUGUACAGCACUAAAGCAGUACAUUCUCCAGAUAUAUCCUCCUGGAUAUAAAGAUCACUGGCAGCAAAAUGAAAGAAACACAGAGGAAAAAAAGCCUUGAAAGAAACAACCAUGGUCAAAACUGGUAAUAUUUACAAGCAAUUAUAGACAGAAAACACAUUCUUAUCACAGACAUUCUAAUACAGGAAAGAUGGACAAUGGGAAAAGCCUUUCACAGAGUUGCCUAUAAAGUCAUUCAGGAAUGUGAGGCAAAGUGGAAGAAAUGCCUUGUCAUCUGUCAGAUUUAAGAAAAAAAAAAAAGAAAGAAAUGAGAAAACAAAGGUAAUUAUGACUGUUGACCUGAUAAUGAAAUGCUGAGAUUCCGGGAGAUGUCAAUUCAGGUAAAAAUAAAAAAGUUUCAAGAAAAUAAGCACUUCACAUUUAGUAGAAAUUCUGUAAGAAAACCCUCAAUCUAGUUGUAUUCAAGAGGUUGACUUUUUCAUCUAACACCAAAAAUAGUCUGAAUGAGAUAUAUGAUGUAUUUGAUCAACAAAUUCUGUAUCAAGACACAUACAUCCAAAAAAAAUAAAUAAACAAGAAAACAAAACUGCUGAGAAAGAUUUCAAUAUAACUUGUCAUGUUACAGGCAACAAAAGAUUUUAGUCAGUCCCAAAGGAAGCAUACCUUUGUCAAUUCACAAAAGAAUAAAACUUGCACUAGAACAGAAAUAAAAGUCUUUUCAAUGCAAAAAUAGCAGAAAAGCACUAAAAAGCCAUUUCCAGUAUUUAGCCAGCAUAGUCUACACCAAAUACAACGAUGAAAAGUCAGACAUGGAAGAAAAUGACAGCAAAGGAAUCUGUUGGCCUCACGUCUUUAUCUUCCAUUGUUUUUAAAGCAGAGCUAAGGUUUGUAAUGCUUUAUUUUCUUGCAGUCAUUAAGGAAGAAGUAGUAUCUUGCUCCAUGGUGAGGACAUCAAGGGGGAAAAUGAAUGGCUGAAACUCUUGGGAGUACUUUCCCACUCUUCACCUUUUUUCAAAACUUUUUUUUUAUCAGUUAUAAUAUGAGCUAUAACUAAAUUCUGAAACCUCAACAAAUAUCCAGUAAUUCUAUACAGGUUAAAAAAGAGAAGUAACGAAAAUAAACAAAAUCUGAUGGUCUCCUGAAGGAAGAUGAGACAUUAGUAAUGCAGGAGCAGAUUCACAGAUCAACCAGACAUCACCAGAAGUAGCACAAUUACUUCAAAACCAGGAAGCCGAUCACUUCCUACCCUAAAAAAAGAGAAAUAUCCUACAGACACACAAACAGAAUAUGCUUCUGUGAGCAUGAUUAAGUGAAUGACUAGUAAUUGAGCUUUGGAGCACUAUAUGUAGCCUCAGGUCACUGACUGAAAUUGAAAUCAGCAGUCAAUGGGGGGUGCACAAGGCUACAGAGUGUAAUCGUAUCCAUGCAAUCUUUUCAAAGAAUGUAACUUCUGAUUUUGAUAAAAGUGCACUACAGUAAAAAUACAAGUUUUGAAGGCCUGGCAACAGUAUACUCCCCAUAUACACGGGCCACUAAAAUCUUGGCAAAAAAUCAGUUUUUCUCAAGCAUUAUUAGCAAAAGAAAAAAAUUCCCACUUUACACUGGCAGCAACUUGUUCCCUUCUCUACUGUGUGGGCACAAGCAUUUACUCAUAGUAAACUGAAAGAAAUUCACUGAAAGCUAGCUUGGCAAAAUACUGUCAUCUGGAUCAGUUCACAUUUUGUUCCCAUACAUAGGAAUAAUUUUGCUGGGAUAAAUAAGAGCUCAUGGACAGAUGAGAGCUCUAGGUGGGAUUAAUUUCACUAUUAGUACAAUGAAGUAAAAAAUGAAUUCAUAAAGAAUUGCUAAAAGAUUCAAUACUUUUCAGCUUUGAAUAAGGCUCAGUGAGGGAUUUUUAAGGAAAGGUUAUUUGGAUUAUGAACAUCUAGUAUAUUUAAUUUAUUAAUCUAUUCAUCUCAUAAAACCAAUUUGUUAAUUUUGCUCUUGUUAAGCUUCUCUAGUGAACAGGAUGCUUGCACAUACCUACAGAUGCAUAAUCCUUAAGCACACAAAUCUUUUCCCUGUUGAGCUUGUCUGCUGUCCAUUAACAGCCUUCACACCUCAUUUGUAUAACCCUGGUUUCUGUAUUAUUUGCUAGAAGCUGUCCUUUAUAAUACAGUUUUGAUUUUACAUAAUGUGGUUAUCAAUUAAUGUGGUUAUUAAUUCCUUCUACAGUUUCUUUUUCUCACACUUCCUGUGAAAUUCCAUUUUUAUUAUUAAUCCUUAACUUUUCUUCCUAGCCAUAACUUUUAUGUUAUGAUUGCUUUUACAGUGACUACAGCAUUUCAGUAUUUUCUGCUAUUUCAAAAAUCACACUUCCACUAUAGACGUACCUUAAUACUGAAGACGUUACUUACAUUUGCAAUUUACAAAACUCAGUUUAGCUAGCUACCGUUAUCUCUAAGUGUUUCGAUACCAAAACCAUGGUCUGUACAUAAUUAGUAGCCAUGGAGACCAUGAAAAUACACUGUAUUAGACAAAUGCAUGGACCAGCAGGCUUCUGAGUUGCAGGAAAGACUUAAAUAAGUGCACACGGUCCACUGAUCACAAUUAUACAACUAAACUAUCUAUCCUCAUCUUCACCCCCAACCCUCCCCCAUUUUAAGGAAAUAUCAAGAAUCUCAAAGCCUGACUUACCCAAAUAGCUGACACCUUUGACUGGCUGGUCCAGUUACCUCCAUCAAUCACACGGAUAACAGCUCACUCAAGAAAAAGAUAAUGACUCUGUUCACAUCAGCAAGAAGAUAUGCAGGGCAGAAACAAAAUUACAUUAUGAUCUUGCAUGCAGAUGUUUUAAGUAGUUGGUAUACAGACAGAUGAACAACAGAAGAAAAAUAAGUCAGUAACACAUAAUCUGCCAUUUAGUACAUAUCAGGCCAGCAGCCUCCAAGCUAGCAAAAUAGCUAGACUGAGCUGGAGAUAGGCUUAGAAAAACUAUACUGAGUGCAAGUAAGGUGACAGAUUGAAUGGUGCCAAAGAAAUCCCUCAAGCAAAAGGGAAAUCAGAACUGGCAUAAGUGUGUCACUUUUUUUUUUUUAAUUACUGAUAUACACUAUAAUAAAUGUUUAUGUGGGUAUGUAUAUUAAUUACACAUAUACAGUCUUCAAAUUAGUUGUGUCAGGCAUACUACAGUCAAGAUAAUAAGUUAGAAAAAAUAAUGUUAGACAUUUUGACUAUUAAAAAAUUAAUACGGAAGGAAUGUUCAGCUUUUCUAGUUGCCUACCAUGCAAAUUCUCAGACGUUCAGCUCUUUGCUAAGUAUAAAUGCCUAGCACAGCUUUCAUAUUCUCCUACUACUACAUGGAUCAAAUAUCUUUACAUACAAAAUGGAAAAAUAUAUCUUGACUUGCCCUCUCCUCAGAAAAAUUUCCUGUAAUAGGCAAAUCCUUCCUUUCCUUCCUUCAUUAUGCUUUCUUUUACUGCUUAUUAUUGAGCAGAGGCAGUGUCUUUGCUUGUCCAUGAGCACAAGCUAGCAAAUACCUCCAAGAGGACGCCUGGCCUCACAAAGCAAUAGCUGCAUGCAAGGAGGCAACACAGCCAAAUAAAGGAGUGUCAAUACUGCCUUCACAAUUAAUGCAAGUGAACUACACAAAAUUAGCACAUGAUUACAUCUGUUUGAGCUGUGUUGAGAAAAAAUAAGUCCCAUCUCCCACUUUUUCCUAUCCUACCUGUCCAAUCCAGCUCCUCCCCUCAAACUGGCACUCCUGAGGUCCCUUGCCGAGUUGAUUCAGUCUGUUCUGGCAGCAGAAAACUGAUUCCUCAAAAGAAGAGCAGCUUUUCCACUAGAUUAGCCAGUUAAGUUUGUUUUGCUCAGAGGAAAGAAAUGGCAAGAGAGAAGUAAGACAGAACAGAACUGAAAAAAAAAUUUACAAUAGAAGUAAAAAAUUGCCAGCCUUGUUCACCAUUCACCUACAGGAGCAGCAGAGCUCAGUGCUGAACCAGAUCACACAACUGAUUCAGCUCAAAAGGAUCCUUUUUUUUUGGGCAGGGUAAUUUUCAACUGUUUCAGUUCCCUGUCUGCACAGCCACACGACAGGUUAUGCCAGCACAGCGUGGCAUGGCAGUGAACAAGAAGAAUGAUGAUAGAAUCAUACCCAAGAUUAAACCUGGACAGAGUUCUGUUGGGUUCUAAAGCAGUGGCCACUUAUAGCAGACUGCAUGGUACAUCAGAAGAAAAUUCUCUCAGUAACUCACCUUGAGAUGUAGUGGAUGCAGGAAGAUAAAAUCCCUGAAAAGGUGCUGCAUGUAUUUUCCUAACAGACAAGUCAGAUACAAGGUACAAGGAGGACCUGUUCAAACCAAGGAUUAAUUUAAACAUACUUCUUCUGUCAUUUCCUCAGCUAUAGCUUGUAAAAAAAUCUGUAAUUCUUGGCUAGUUUUAGACAUUUGAAAUACUUCUACACACUACUGAACUUUAUUUUGGGCUAUCUUAAGUUAAGAGUCAUUUCAAGGAUAGUUAACAAAAGACUUACCAUAUAUUCAAAGGUUAUGCCCUCACCCACACCACCUUCACAAAAUGCACAAGAGCAGUUCAAGAGCCAGUGUCUUCCUAGUCACCUUCCAUUUCCAGGAAGAUCUCCUUAUUGCUACCCACUGGAAGACCCCUCUGGCAUGCACAAGAAUUUUAAGAGGCACACACAACCCUGUGGAGGCAAAAAUCAACAGUGUGUCUGCAUUAUUUUUUUGUGCUUGGUCCAAAAAUGUGGCUUUUAACCUGGGUCCCAAGCGUCCCCAGUCCCCACACUUUGGUUCACACUGCAGAGAAGAAUCAAAGCAUGAAUGUGGAAUUCACUUUGGACAAAACUAAACCAGAUGCACUCCACAAGUCCACCUAAUGCACUCCAACAGUUACUGAGGUCACUCCAUGGGUUUUGAGCUAGUGUGAGGCAAAACACACUCAACAGUCUGCAAGUGAAGCCCCCAGUACUAAGAUCUGUUUCUCUAAAGUAGCAGCACUUGAUAUCAAAGACUUACAUUGAAUGAAAUCACAAAAGGUAAAUUAACCUACUAAAUGACAGUCAAUAGACUUACAUAGGUACAGCACAAAAUAUUUUUAAUUGUGUAUUAUCAUUGAAGAAUUGAGAGAAUACCUAACUAUCCAAAUACAGGGAAUUUCUGCAUCUGAGGGGUUGUUUUCUGCAAUGCUGGCUAGUUGGGAUGUCAGUAUCUAGGGGGUAUUAGAGUUCAAAUUUUUACUUAGAAGGAAUUAGAAUAUGUAUUUUACUAUCACCUCAAAUGGCUCCAAACCGAUGUUUUCCCAAUAUCUAAAACACUGAAAAAGCUCCUGAAUGUGCCCUAAUCAUUAGCUGCUUUCUAGAUGCUAAUAAGAUCUCAACCAUUCAUUUCAAAGUAGUUUUCCUCAGCAUACUUUUCACAUGCACAGCUGAAUUUACUUUCUGGAGGCUUAAGCAAAGGUAGAUCAUUUUAGCAGGUGUUUGUUUGGUGCUGGAAAAGGUUCCUAGGAGUCAUCUGAAUGUGAAGACCUGCUAAAACUAUUCUGGGGUAUACUAAAAGCUGCUACUCUUCUGGUAAGAAAUACUGAAAAUUAUUCCUAUUUCACAUCUAAAAUCUCCCUUAUGAUUUGAUGAGUCCUCACAGCAACUUACACAUAACAAUAAUGGAAUACAAGACAUGCUAUCAAGGAAUUAAAAGAUUUUUUCUAAUAUUAAAGAUAAUCCAUGAUGUCCCAGUUUAAUGCUAUACAGAAAUUUGCCUCAGAUGGCUUUUCCAGAAAGAUGUUCUGUUCAUCAAAGCACUCACAGAAAGUCUACUUGAACCCUUUUCUGACAUAACAAUGGUGAAAUGACAACUAGUAUUUUCUCUAAUUCUCUUUGAUCAACUGCCAAGCCAAAGAGAAAAGUCAUGUACUGAAACCAUUGUGCAUAAACUAGAGCUAUACCCUUUGGAAUAAAGAAAUAGGAACAGGCAGGUGAGCUUCCUUGAAGCUUAACAAUCACAGGAAAUUCUUCAUCAGUUGCUUUUUUCAUCAGUUGCUUUUAACAUGAACUCUGGAGUUUCCAUUUUGAUUUUUGAUGCCUAGGAAAAAAGCCUGAGUCUCACUCAGAUAAGAAGGUCCUGCACACUGGAGACAUUGGUGACAGCUUUAAUUCUUACCAUGCUGCAAUUUAACUGCAAGAUCAGACCUUAAGGCUUGACAGCUUACCUUCCUACUGUGGAACAGAGCACAUUCCUGAAGAAUAGAUAUCAGAAUAACAUUAGGUUCUGAAACAUCAGAUUCUGGGACAAAUAUACCCAACUUGAACCACAUACAUCUUACUAAUAUGACCAUUCCCAAAUUUUUAAAGCUCUGUGCCUUGCCUUCUUUCCAAAGAAUUAUGUCAUACAGCACUACCUUGUAGUCAUAUUUACUUGAAAAUAUUAAGAGAUUUCUCUCAAAACUCUCAAAACCCUCCUCAAUCUCCUGGUUUAUUCUACAUAUCUUUUAUUAGCUUCUUCUUUUCUUUACUUUGUUAAGUUAAUGCCAUCAUAUAAGGGUUUGGAAUCUCUUGCAAUAGAAGGUUAGGAGGGAAAGAAAUUCCCCCUGCAGACUUUUCAGUCUGCUUGAUUACAGCACUCAUUAAAAAAGCCUACCAUCAUUUUACAAAAACUAGAAGUACUCGGAUUUAGAUUCAGCUAAAGCUAGUAGCUAUGGAGUUAUACUGCACUGAUUUACAACAUCUAUCAAGGGAAAGGAGCACCAUUAGAGCAACUAUCUAAGAAGGAAUUCUUUCAGGACAUCACAAAAACAGCAGAAAAACCUGGAGAUUACAAAAACAUUCUCCAAAAACUCCAUUUUACAUACAAUUAGUUUUAUGAAUACUAUACAUUCUCUUUUUUUUUUUUUUUAAGUAGUAAAUCAGUGUACCAGCAAUGAUGAAGUUUUGAUCAGCAGGAGUUACACACAUAGGAACACCCAUUGCAACUUUAUCUCAGCAUCCCUAGAGCUUUGUGUGUAUUAUCUGCAGAAACACUUUGUCCCUGCACUCUCUUUUAACGGUGUUUCACAACUUUUUUCCUCACUAUGCUUAAUUUACAGCUUAUUUCUUCAAGGCAGUUGAUUUUAAGGAGCCUUGAUUUACUGUAGGCUUAUUUAAUGUCUUGCCUUGAGUAUUCACACAACUAACAUGAGAAAUUAGACUAAAAAAGAGGAAAGGAGAAGUGGGAUUAUCUUAUGGAAUUUUUUUCUUUUUUUUCAUGGAAACAAGCAUUUUUCUCAUCAGAUAUGUACUUACUUUAGGCAUCUUGCUGCUUUCUCCCAGUUUUUUCCAAGGUGAAGUUUCUGACAGGGAAUCCAUAGCAAGCCUUUGGUUUCUCACCAUCUACACUGCUAUGCCACUACUCUACAUCACAUGAAAGAGUCAUGCCAGUAGGAAACCACAUCACACCUGUUUGAAUACCUGGAAAUCUUCUUCUUCCAGAAACUUACUGCCCCGCACACUGUACUCUCCCAGGACAGGCUUUGCAAGUACCUAGUAGAAGGAUACAUACCUGCCCAACAACAUCUCUUUGGCAAUCUGAUUUGUCUUCCUGAUCCCAUGAGAACUCUUUUAAGAAGGGGUAAGAAACAGCAGUGUAGAAGGGUGUUGGUUUGCAGAAUUCCUAACUAGUACCAUAUUCAAUGUUUCUUCAAGAAUUACUGGAUUAAGACUUUACAGACUUUACCUCAGGUCUUGCUAUCAAUUCCUUCCUCAGUGGCCCAUCUCAUGGCACCAAAAGCAGCUUGAUAAGAAUAAAGGGAAUUUCCUUUUUUUUUAAGGACAAGCAUCAUUUGUAGAGGUUCUAGAAACCUUUCCAUUCUGAGUCAGAUCUGCAAGACACUUUACUGCAAUUCAUUUUAAUUCCGAAAGAAUGUGUAUUAUUUUUCAUCCAUACAACUUCCCACAAAAUUAUUCUGCAUAAACAACCUACUUCCUAGAUUUGCAUUUAAAUGCACACUUCCAGUAUGCAUUUAAAUCCCCUCCAGCAUACAUCUAAGAAAAAAAAAAAAAAAAAAAGAAAAGCACCAGAUAUCCCACCUUCCAAAAAAUCUAAAGUAUAACCUAGGGAAAAAAAACCUAAAACCACAAACCCAAACAAAACCACACCACAUAAUUUAA